GCUUCCUUUUUGCUGCUCUGCAAUAAUAACCAAGUGUGUGGAGAUACCUGACGGCCGUUCUGGGACUGAUACCAACUUGUUCUACUAUGUCAGAAGCCUUGCAAUGAGGAUUAUCCUCCACACUUCUUUUAACAAAGAGAAGGGUCCUGUCACAGAGCUCUGGCCAACCUGGGUGAGGUGAUGUGCACUCCUUCCCAUCUCUGGUGAAUUGCCCAAUUACUCUAUAAAUUGUAGAAAGCAGGAUUCCAAGGUUUUCUGCAAUUUUAUGCUAUGUCCACCUUUAGAUUGACCCACAAUAUGGCCUCUUUGAAAUUCAGACAGUUCCAAGGCUUCCUUUGUAUAUGGCAUGAUUAAAUAGUCAUAUAGAGAACCUGAAACAUAAAAAUGUCAAGGAAUAAAAGAUAUAGACCAUU
This is a long non-coding RNA of Octopus sinensis (East Asian common octopus), 413 nucleotides long. RefSeq lists it as uncharacterized. The transcript has 3 exons. The record is from RefSeq and is a predicted model, not a curated record. NCBI's taxonomy places the organism in Eukaryota, Metazoa, Mollusca, Cephalopoda, Octopoda, Octopodidae.